AAAAUGAAGUGUGUGUGUGGGGGGGGAGGGGGGAAACGCUGAAGAAGUUCUAAGAAAUGCUUUCAAGCAGGCGCUGCAUGUUGGAGAAUGGAUUCCUUGUUUUGACUCCAAUAUCUUCACUGCUGUUUGCUGCACAAUGUCCACAUUGUUGAGAUAUUGCCAUGGUGACAUACUGCAGGCCACUAUUGAGUCGCCCAUCAGUUCAUUACAAGGGACACUCCAAGCUUGAAACAGCCCCGACUCCCAAGCUGUUUAGAUGUCC
Molecule: long non-coding RNA, 262 nt
Filed under: Salvator merianae (Argentine black and white tegu)
Lineage: Eukaryota; Metazoa; Chordata; Lepidosauria; Squamata; Teiidae
Description: lncRNA (ENSSMRG00000014242.1)
Source: RNAcentral